RNAcentral lists this ribosomal RNA (427 nucleotides) under uncultured bacterium. Its description in RNAcentral is "bacterial SSU rRNA". It matches the Rfam family "Bacterial small subunit ribosomal RNA", at positions 376 to 793 of the family's 1533-position model. The record is from RNAcentral.
CGCAAGCCUGAUGCAGCCAUGCCGCGUGUAUGGAAGAAGGCCUUCGGGUUGUAAAGGUACUUUCAGCAGUGAGGAAGGUGGGUAUGUUAAUAGCAUAUUCAUUUGACGUUAGCUGCAGAAGAAGCACCGGCUAACUCCGUGCCAGCAGCCGCGGUAAUACGGAGGGUGCGAGCGUUAAUCGGAAUUACUGGGCGUAAAGCGCAUGCAGGUGGUUUGUUAAGUCAGAUGUGAAAGCCCGGGGCUCAACCUCGGAAUUGCAUUUGAAACUGGCAAACUAGAGUACUGUAGAGGGGGUAGAAUUUCAGGUGUAGCGGUGAAAUGCGUAGAGAUCUGAAGGAAUACCGGUGGCGAAGGCGGCCCCCUGGACAGAUACUGACACUCAGAUCGCGAAAGCGUGGGGAGCAAACAGGAUUAGAUACCCUGGUAG